This 1336-nucleotide long non-coding RNA is filed under the name Ursus maritimus (polar bear). RNAcentral's name for it is "lncRNA (ENSUMAG00000019434.1)". The record is from RNAcentral. Lineage: Eukaryota; Metazoa; Chordata; Mammalia; Carnivora; Ursidae.
GGCUCCUGGCAUGACAUCUUUUCCUCAGCUCAACUCCCUCAGAGUCACCCUGUGUGGAGGGAGAGCACUGUGUUUUCAUUUCCUUUUGACCGAUUCCAGUCUCACCAGGCUCUUUCUAAUCUGUACUUAGGAAAUGCCUCCCGGGGUCACCUCUUCCUUUCCUGCCCGUGGCGCAGAACCACGCAUUCCGGGGCUGGAACAAUGGCCAUUGAAGCAGCCGGGCCAGUCCUCCUCCACACGAGGGUGAUGUCAGCAAACCCAGGAAGCUUUCAGAGCCAAGAGAGCCUCAGACCCAGGAGCAAGCAGUUUGGGAUCUCCGUGGCCACAGGGUUCUGUGUGCACAGGAUGAGAGCAGAGGAAGGGUUCCCGCGGAAGAAUGCUGCGCAGAGGGCGUGAGAGCAGGAGGGGCUGCCCUGAGGCUAAAGGCCAUCAACCAGCCACAGCCCGCAGGGAUAUCAGCUUCUGGAAAGCGAAAUUGGUUACCAAAAAAUGGCUACCCCAUUUUUGGAGGUACUUUGGGGGCACAAGCUAAAUGAAACCAGUCAUCACUGCCCUGCCUAGAGUGAAGCCAAACACAAGGAAGGCCAACCGUCUCUCCUGGAAUUGUACCCCGGCCUGAACCUCCCAGCUUUCUCAGGAUUCACCCACAGACUCCCAAAGCCAGCUCUGGAACAAUCUACUCCACUGAACUUGAACCUCAAAACCAUGCUAGACGUCUCCCAAUGCCCUCCCUCUGCAAUGUGCCUCCUUCCUUCUGCAUCGCCAGUUAUCACUACCAAAGUGUCUACGACUGCUCAGACGUAGACAGACAACCUGAAUGUGCUCCCACGUACUCCUUCCUUCCCUUAUGGUGACGUUCUACAGUAAUUCCAUUAAAGUUACCAAUAGAAAAAUUAUUCCAAUGAGUGUAAAUAUUUAAGUUUUCAUAUACAUCUGCAUAGCUUUUGCAUUACUGACACAGCGUUGUAGAUGAUGAAGGAACGAUUUACAUUAGUGUAUUUAUCCAAAUCAGUAACUGGUCGUAUGGAACUAGGCACUGUACAAAUGGAAUAGUUGAGCAUAGAAACAGUGUCUCACUCAACGGAGUAUUUUUAUUGCCUGGUAAAAUUCCUGUUUCACUGUAGUUGAUAAAUGCUAGCUGCUGAAUCCAGGCACACAUCAUUUCUUCCAGGCCUCCAACAUCAGAAAUCCAUCAGAGAACUCUGUGAAGUUGCGUAGAAAUAAGGGCUGGUGUGUCAGUGUCUGGUAAGAAGACUACUUUGUCGGUGGAUGAAGAUCUGGAGAAACCCAGGCAAAAAAUUCAUUGUGAAUUUUCCAGUAUUGUUCAGUACCUGUA